This 1768-nucleotide ribosomal RNA is filed under the name Durio zibethinus. RNAcentral describes it as "SSU rRNA". It matches the Rfam family "Eukaryotic small subunit ribosomal RNA", at positions 1 to 1410 of the family's 1831-position model. Lineage: Eukaryota; Viridiplantae; Streptophyta; Magnoliopsida; Malvales; Malvaceae. The record is from RNAcentral.
CCUGGUUGAUUGUGCCAAUAGUCAUAUCCUUGUUUCAAAGAUUAAACCAUUCAUGUGUAAGUAUGAACUAAUUCAAACUGUGAAACUGUGAAUGGCUCAUUAAAUCAGUUAUAAUGUGUUUGAUGAUAUCUACUACUCAGAUAACCAUAGUAAUUCUAGAGCUAAUAUGUGCAACAAACCUCAACUUCUAAAAGGGAUGCAUUUAUUAGGUAAAAGGUCGACAUCCGCUUCGUCUGUUGCUCUAAUAAUUCAUGAUAACUUGAUGAAUCGUAUAGCUUUUAUGCCAAUAACUCAUCAUUCAAUUUUCUACCCUAUCAACUUUUGAUGUAUGAUAGUGGCCUACUAUAAUGGUGAUAGGUGAUGGUGAAUUAGGGUUCGAUUUUAGAGAGAAAGCCUGGGAAACGGCUACCACAUCCAAGAAAGGCAGCAAGCACGUAAAUUACCCAAUCCUAAUAUAGGGAGGUAGUGACAAUAAAUAAUAAUACUAGUUGUAUGAGUUUGGAAAUUGGAAUGAGUACAAUCUAAAUCCCUUAAUGAGGAUCCCUUGGACGGCAAAUCUGGUGCCAGCAGCUACUGUAAUUCUAGCUCUAAUAAUGUAUAUUUAAGUUGUUAUAGUUAAAAAGCUCAUAGUUGGAACCAAAGUUAGGUCAUCCAAUUUACCUCAUGGUGAGCACCGAUCUACUCAUCCUUUCUGCAAGUGAUGUGCUACUGGACUUAACUAGCUAGGCCAUUCCUCUAGCAUUGUUACUUUAAAGAAAUUAGAGUGCUAAAAGUAGGCUUGCGCUUGUAUACAUUAGCAUGGGUAACAUCAUAGGAUUUCAAUCCUAUUAUGUUGGCCUUUGGGAUUAAAGUAAUGAUUAACAAGGAUAGUUAGAGGCAUUUGUAUUUCAUAGCUAGAGGUGAAAUUUUUGGAUUUAUGAAAGAUAAACAACUAUGAAGCAUUUGCCAAGGAUGUUUUCAUUAAUCAAGAAUGAAUGUUUGAGGCUUAAAGAUGAUUAAAUAUUGUCCUAGUCUCAACCAAAAAUGAUGCUGACUAGGGAUCAACGAAUGUUAUUUUUAGGACUCUGCUAGCACCUUAUGACAAAUCAAAGUCUUUAGGUUUUAGGGGGAUGGUCACAAGGUUGAAACUUGAAGGAAUUAAUGGAUAGGCACCACUAAGAGUUAAGCCUGUGGCAUAAUUUGACUCAAUGUGGGGAAACUUACUAAGUCCAGACAUAAUAAGGAUUAAUAGACUGAAAGCUUUUUCUUGAUUCUAUUGGUGGUAGUGCAUGGCCGUUCUUAGUUAGUGGAGUGAUUUGUCUAGUUAAUUCCAUUAAUGAAUGAUAAUUUUGCUUGCUAACUAGCUAUGUAGAAAGAUCAUUGUCAAAACCAGCUCAAUGAAUGACCCAUGAAUUCAUUAACAAAACACUGAAGGGGCAAGGGUGCCUCUAUGCCCUGAGCUCUUUCUAGCACCCAAGCAUGCAUGACGGUCGCUUUUUUCCACCUCCCGGAUGGUAUUAAAUGAUCGACAUCAUUGCCCAUGGUAAAAUAAUGAGCCCUCAGCAUGAAUUACACUAAGGAACCAAAAUGAAAAAGAGCACGUGUGCUAUCGCAUCCCAUUUAUGGUGCAUGUGUAAGUGGCACCAUGGCUUCUUUUGUUGUGAAAAACUAAAAUGACUCUUGAUAACAGAUAUCUCGGCUCUCGCAUCAAUGAAACAUGUAGCAAAAUGCAAUACUUAGUGUGAAUUAUAAAGUCUUAUGAACUAUUGAGUCUUUGAGCGCAAGUUAC